AUCGGAUGAGAUUUGACCGAGUUAUAGGCAUGGGAAGUUUGGACCCAUGUCUAUAUACGAAUCUUGGGGUAAGAUUUUGACAUGAAAUUCGACUAAAAAAUAGACGUUCAGAUUUGAAUGCCAGAUUAUUCUAGAGGGAAGGCAAUGAAUAAAAAGCAAAACCUCGCCAAAAUCGGGUGAGAUUUGACCGAGUUAUGGGAAUGGGAAGUUUGGACCCAUGUCUAUAUACGAAUCUUGGGGUAAGAUUUUAAAAUGAAAUUCGACUAAGAAAUAGAUGUUCAGAUUUGAAUGCCAGAUUAUUCUAGAGGGAAAACCAUGAAUAAAAAGCCAUACCUCGUAAAAAUCGGAUGAGAUUUGACCAAGUUAUGGGAAUGGGAAGUUUAGACCCAUGUCUAUAUACGAAUCUUGGGGUAAGAUUUUGACAUGAAAUUCGACUACAAAAUAUGUGUUCAGAUUUGAAUGCCAGAUUAUUCUAGAGGGAAAACCAUGAAUAAAAAGCCAAAACUCGCAAAAAUCGGAGGAGAUUUGACCGAGUUAUAGGCAUGGGAAGUUUGGACUAUAUGUCCAAUUCGAAUCUUGGGAUUAUUCUAGAGGGAAAACCAUGAAUAAAAAGCCAAGCCUCGCAAAAAUCGGAUGAGAUUUGACCGACUCAUAGGCAUGGGAAGUUUGGACCCAUGUCUAUAUACGAAUCUUGGGGUAAAAUUUUGACAUCAAAUUCAAAUAAAAAAUUGGGGUUCAGAUUUGAAUGCCAGAUUAUUCUAGAGGGAACACCAUGAAUAAAAAGCCAAACCUCGCCAAAAUCGGAUGAGAUUUGACCGAGUUAUAGGCAUGGGAAGUUUGGACCCAUGUCUAUAUACGAAUCUUGGGAUAUCUGGUCAAGAGAACUAUGCAUGCUCUGACCCGUGACAAAUUUUCGCGUAGACAAGACUAGGCAACAGCAAACAGCAGUUCACAGAUUUCACUACUCAAGAUGUUUUGAUAGACGUAGAGCUAACAACUGCAAAUGAACGCAAGCAAAACAAGUCGCCGCCGUUGGUUGUUCUUGUUAGACAAAUGAUGCCAAUUAAACGGUGGGAAAACGAGUUGGCAAAAGAGUCUGCACGCUUGUCGCCGCCUCAA
This is a long non-coding RNA of Drosophila montana, 1119 nucleotides long. RefSeq lists it as uncharacterized. NCBI's taxonomy places the organism in Eukaryota, Metazoa, Arthropoda, Insecta, Diptera, Drosophilidae. The record is from RefSeq and is a predicted model, not a curated record. The transcript is spliced from 3 exons.